UUCUCUCCACCAAAUAAUCGAGCCAAUCACCGCGCCGCCGUGGAGCACUCGGUCGUCGUGGAUUCAAGCGUGGGCGCCGCUGUCGUCGACCGCGAUUCACUUCACCGUCGGUAAAUCCCCAGCCCAAGAACCCUAAUUAGCAUUCUCCGCCAUGUGUAGAAGCAUUCUGUGUCGGUAAUCGGUCAUCUGGGUGCGUGUAAUUGGACAUCGCCGUUGAUGUUCCGCCACGGCGCAUCGGGGCUGGGGGCGAGUACUUAGGCGCUGGUGUUCUCGGGAAAAGAUAUUCCCAUAUCUUCGUUUCCUCGGCGCGAUCGCGGAGGACCAAUCGAAUUUAAGGUUGGGGCCUGGAAUGGCGCGCUGCAGCUUCUCCGGCCAUCUCUCCGCCGUCUGCUUGGGCAGCGCCGCCGCGGGCUGGCCAGCUUGGGCGCGGGAUAGACCAGGGGAAGCCGUGACCGUUGAUCCCUUGCGCAACGGUCGCGAUUAGAUCAUAGGGGUACCGGUUGGGUGGAUUAGCCAGUGCCGUUUGAUCAAGAUCCAACAUGCGUAGAUUGAUCUAGGUAUUUUAAAUCUGAGCCGUCCGAUUCAAUCCGACGCUUUAUGAUCGAUCGCGUGCACCUUUUUGUCAGGGUCGUUGAUCGUUAAUCUAACGGGCGGAUCUGAUCAGGCGCAUGGCGAGUGCUCGGCCGUGGAUCGUGGAUCCAACGGCUCUGAGUGAAGCAGCUUUAAGCACCGGAAUGAUUUAAUCUGAGCCGUAGAAUCUAAUCCUACGGUUGAUAUUAGACGAUACCCCUUCGCGGGUAUAUUUUGUUAAAGAGCCCCCGCCAAACACUGAAAUCAACCCGCAGUCCUUAGACAGGGUCGCUUGUGUCUCGGUUACUUUUGUGCCAGGGCCCCUGAGCUUACCAGAAAUCGAGGCCCAGUCCAGAAAGGAUUAAUAAUAGAGAAAUAAUUAUAGAAAUUAGUUUUUAAUACAAAAAACAAUUCUAGAAACUUGUAAAAUGCAUAGAAAAUUCAUUUUUAGUCCAAAUUGACCCAUUCCAAUUUCUAAAAUUUUAUAAUAUUACUGUUUAUCAUCUAGUGUCCCUGUUUUGGCAUGAAAACAGUAAGAAAAUUAAUUCCACACUUAAUCCUAUUUCAAGCACAUAAAACCUUUGGAAAUUUAUAUCUAAAAAUCUAUAACUCUAAAAUUAAUGAUUCCUGAUCUUAGGAUCUUAUUUUAAUGUAUAGAUUGUUAUUGUGUAUUUUAUUUACAUGUAUGGUGUGAUGUUAAUUUUUUCUAUACUAUGUAUGUAUUGUAUUAAUGUGAGUAGACGAGCAAGCUAGUGCGGAUCCUGAGGCCCAGCAGAUAGAAGUAGCUGAGCAGGAGCUCAUUGAAGGCAAGUUGUGCCCUUGAUCACUUACUUUUUCCCAGCCAUGUUCUUAUUAAUUAUAAUGAUCUGCAUAGGUUAAUUUUGAUGGGAUCAAAUAGGCUACCCUAGUUUUGGCUAUCUUUAUACCUUGUUGCCACUGAAUAUUUUUGGGUAGUACUUGCUACUGCUUAUUGUGGUUUCGGGUAUGUCGAUACACUAUUCAUGAUUACACUUUUAUUAUCUGUUUAUUAUUACUGUUUAUGUUAAGAUCAUUAUGUUAAUGGGAACAUGGAGCGACCACCCGGGAAAACAGUGCUACCACUAGGGUAGUAUGGGAUGCCCUUGGCUGAUUAACUAGGAAAGGUAGUGGACGACUUCCUUACCCGAAAGGGGUUAGUGCAGUAGGGGAGUGGUCAGUGUAGGGAGGUCCUUGAGUUGAUUUUGUUGCGAUGGCGGUCAGGCGAGGGAUUCCUGCACUGGAGCUUCCUAUAAACUGUAGCGGGUUUUCUGAAGCUAGUGGAACUUUGUAAUGGCCUCGUAGUCUUACCCUGCCUCGCCUCCUCGGUAGAGGUGUAUGGGAUUUGCCGUCUCUUGGCAGAUGGGUAACAUGACUUGUGGGUAAAGAUACGCAACCUCUACAGAGUGUAAAACUAGUAUACACUAGCCGUGAUCACGGUCAUGAGCAGCUCGGACCCUCACAUGAUUAAUCUAUGGAAUUAAAACUCAAUUUGUCAUUUGAAUCGCAUUGGGAUUAUUUAUUUAUUACUUUUCUUUAUUAUUAUUAAGGUUAGAUAUUUACUUAUACUUAGUAACUGCUAAUAAAAUUUUGACCAACUUAUAAAAGCAAUGCUAAGCUUCAGCCUUUAUUUUGUUGAUCAGCCUUACACUUCAUAUGAAGUCCCACCUUUGGUGAGUUCAUGUACAUUAUUCCCCACAACUUGUUGAGCUAUGAUCAUAUGUGAGCUCACUCUUGCUGUCUCACACCCCCACAGGAGAAGAACAGGUGGUCGAAGAGGAGCUGCCUAACUCUGAGGCUUUCGACUUGAUCUAGGUGACGUCUCCCAGUUAGCUUUGUGGCGCCAGUGAAUAAUAUAUAGUUCGCUUUAUUUUAUCAUUUAUUUUUGUAAGACUUUCGC
This 2485-nucleotide long non-coding RNA is filed under the name Zea mays. RNAcentral describes it as "long non-coding RNA (ZMAY_LNC001607)". Lineage: Eukaryota; Viridiplantae; Streptophyta; Magnoliopsida; Poales; Poaceae. The record is from RNAcentral.